This is a long non-coding RNA of Cavia porcellus (domestic guinea pig), 1277 nucleotides long. RefSeq lists it as uncharacterized. Lineage: Eukaryota; Metazoa; Chordata; Mammalia; Rodentia; Caviidae. The transcript is spliced from 5 exons. The record is from RefSeq and is a predicted model, not a curated record.
ACAUUGGGCCGACCAUGGAAUCAGAGCAGGGGGCAUUAUUUGUCUACUGCAUUGUAUCCAUGACGGCCAAAGAGUCACACUUUCCUCCCACUCAUAAUAUAGUCCCCUCACGUCAUGGUCCCUGAGAACCUUAGUCCACUACAGCAUCAACUCAUCAUCUAUAUCCCCUCAGUGAGUGAGGACUCCACAGCGAACUAUAGGCCAGCGCCAGCACUGCAAUUGUGCCUAGUGCCCAGUGAAGUGCAUCUUCCAGGCGUGGCACCGCGAAGUGCUGCAGGCCGCCGAGGUCUUUCCUCUCAAGGUGGUCUGCUGACUGCAUGACUUUCCUUUGCUGCAGCAGCUCCUUCUCUAGGAUGUGUGACACUGUCUGCUGUUGCAUCAGGCCCAUUCUUCAGGCUAAGGUACCUUCCUUUUCUGAGUUGCUGGUGUCAUCGAGACGGUCAUGACCUUCUGGUUGCUAUUUUUCUAUUGCAGGAGCAAGCCAGAGCCAAAAAGGAAACACCCCCUGAGUCCCCCACUCCUCAUUCAGCUGAGGAGAGGCAGCCUUCCAGCCCCAUCUAUGAGGGUUCAGGGAUGGCAUCCUUGGAGUGAGGCAUCCUCCCCGUUGCCCUUCUUUACCUUUCUGCACCUCCCUGCAGUCAGACUGCCAGCUGAGGAGUGGGUCACUGUCUCCCUACAGCCCUGGGAUGCAGCCUCCUUGAACGCAGAGGUCCUGCAAGUGAAAGUGAGCCCUAGCAUGUGUACAGUGCAGAGGCCACAAACUACCUUCCCACAGGCCAGCAGUUAGCAGAGCCUGGGCUAUGAUCCGGAAGCCAUCUAGGACACCACCAAACCCUCUGGCCACUAUCAAGCAGAAGAGAACACCUAUGACGAGUAUGAGAACGACCUGGGCAUCACAGCCAUCGCACUUUAGGACUACCAGGCUGCGCGUGGUGACGAAAUCUCCUUUGACCCUGAUGACAUCAUCAGCAACAUAGAAAUGAUGCAUGAGGAAGGCUGGCAGCGCAGCGUGUGCAAGCGCCUGUACGGGCUCUUCCCGGCCAACUAUGUGGAGAUGUGGCAGUAGGCGGCCCGCCUGCCCUGCGGGCCUGUACAGAAUCACACUUCAGAUCAUGCCUUUGCUGGUUUGGGGUUUUGGGUUUGUAUUUUUUGUUCUGUUUUCUGAGGGUGAGGAGGGAAAUAUACAUAUUGAUUUUAUAUUUAAUACUUCUACUGAUGCUUUUGAAAAUGUUGAUGCCACAGAAUGUGCUAAUAAAUUGUAAUCAUGUUCCCUAGGA